Molecule: ribosomal RNA, 1380 nt
Filed under: Mycolicibacterium litorale
Lineage: Bacteria; Bacillati; Actinomycetota; Actinomycetes; Mycobacteriales; Mycobacteriaceae
Description: 16S ribosomal RNA
Rfam family: Bacterial small subunit ribosomal RNA
Source: RNAcentral
UGCAAGUCGAACGGAAAGGCCCUUCGGGGUACUCGAGUGGCGAACGGGUGAGUAACACGUGGGUGAUCUGCCCUGCACUUUGGGAUAAGCCUGGGAAACUGGGUCUAAUACCGAAUAUACCUCUUGGAUUGCAUGAUUCUUGGGGGAAAGCUUUUGCGGUGUGGGAUGGGCCCGCGGCCUAUCAGCUUGUUGGUGGGGUGAUGGCCUACCAAGGCGACGACGGGUAGCCGGCCUGAGAGGGUGACCGGCCACACUGGGACUGAGAUACGGCCCAGACUCCUACGGGAGGCAGCAGUGGGGAAUAUUGCACAAUGGGCGCAAGCCUGAUGCAGCGACGCCGCGUGGGGGAUGACGGCCUUCGGGUUGUAAACCUCUUUCAGUAGGGACGAAGCGCAAGUGACGGUACCUACAGAAGAAGGACCGGCCAACUACGUGCCAGCAGCCGCGGUAAUACGUAGGGUCCGAGCGUUGUCCGGAAUUACUGGGCGUAAAGAGCUCGUAGGUGGUUUGUCGCGUUGUUCGUGAAAACCGGGGGCUUAACCCUCGGCGUGCGGGCGAUACGGGCAGACUAGAGUACUGCAGGGGAGACUGGAAUUCCUGGUGUAGCGGUGGAAUGCGCAGAUAUCAGGAGGAACACCGGUGGCGAAGGCGGGUCUCUGGGCAGUAACUGACGCUGAGGAGCGAAAGCGUGGGGAGCGAACAGGAUUAGAUACCCUGGUAGUCCACGCCGUAAACGGUGGGUACUAGGUGUGGGUUUCCUUCCUUGGGAUCCGUGCCGUAGCUAACGCAUUAAGUACCCCGCCUGGGGAGUACGGCCGCAAGGCUAAAACUCAAAGGAAUUGACGGGGGCCCGCACAAGCGGCGGAGCAUGUGGAUUAAUUCGAUGCAACGCGAAGAACCUUACCUGGGUUUGACAUGCACAGGACGCCAGUAGAGAUAUUGGUUCCCUUGUGGCCUGUGUGCAGGUGGUGCAUGGCUGUCGUCAGCUCGUGUCGUGAGAUGUUGGGUUAAGUCCCGCAACGAGCGCAACCCUUGUCUCAUGUUGCCAGCACGUUAUGGUGGGGACUCGUGAGAGACUGCCGGGGUCAACUCGGAGGAAGGUGGGGAUGACGUCAAGUCAUCAUGCCCCUUAUGUCCAGGGCUUCACACAUGCUACAAUGGCCGGUACAAAGGGCUGCGAUGCCGUGAGGUGGAGCGAAUCCUUUCAAAGCCGGUCUCAGUUCGGAUCGGGGUCUGCAACUCGACCCCGUGAAGUCGGAGUCGCUAGUAAUCGCAGAUCAGCAACGCUGCGGUGAAUACGUUCCCGGGCCUUGUACACACCGCCCGUCACGUCAUGAAAGUCGGUAACACCCGAAGCCGGUGGCCUAACCCCUUGUGGGU